CAUACCAAAAUCAAACUUUCUAGUAUCGCAAUUUUGUUAUUACAAUAUUUGAUAUGCAUUUUAAAUUUAUUUGAUAUUCAGUAUUUCAUAUCUAAGGUUUGGUGGCACAUUUAUCGAUACAUAUGCCAGUAGACUAGUAAAGGCACGCCUAAACUGCUUAAUCUGACCCAAACCAUAUGUUAACCAAAAUAUUUAGUAAAAAAAUAAGCAUUUUAAAUUUAUUUGGUAUUCCAUAUACAAUAUAAAAUAAUAUAUUAAUUGAAUACGGGACCAAUGCCCAUUUCUUAAUUAAGAAACUCGAUCAAAUAGUCAAGUCCAACAAGACUUAGACCAAUCCAGAAAUAAAAAAAAAAAGAACAACAAAAUAAUCAAAAACUAAAAUGGAAAAUAACAAUCGAGAAGGCUCUAGAAAGUCGAUCAAACUACAAUUUAAUUUUCUUCGGAGCAAUCAAGGCUUGGGACCUGAAUCAAGCCUUGUAGGAAAAGGGAGGGGAUACAACUUCAAAAACUAGGAGUUGCUUUGGUACAAGUUGUGUUGAACUUGAAUAGAUUUCCCCAUCGAAUUCUAGAAAAUUCUCGCUGAUAUCAUGGAAUUUGAUUUCAUGGAAGACCGUUUCGAGUCAUGCGUUGUAGACCUGUUUGAGUUAGAUCUAAUACCACACAUAUAACUCGAUACUAAGAAUUCUAGGACGAUUAAUUAUCCACAUCCUUCAUCCUUACGGGCUGAGUUGGAUCUAAUACCACACAUAUAACUCGAUACUAAGGUUGAGUCGGAUUUAAUACCACACUAUAACUCGAUACUAAGGUACAAUAUCGUAUGUUCUUAAUUUCUACUACUUUUAUGUUCAUUUAUUUAAUUGUGCCUAAUGUUGAUGUUUUCGAAUCAUGAAUUGUAUCUCUGGUAAAACCCUUCUCCUAAAUUCAAUUUCAUCAAAUUUGAGCUAAAAUAACAUCAAUUUUUGUUAAACAAUAAAAUUCUAGGACGACUAAUUAUCCACAUCCUUCAUAAUGAUAUUAUUUGCAUAGACUAGAUGAUGAAUAUUUUCACUUCAUGUGUCUAAUUAUUAAUCAAUAUAGAAUAAAAAUUAUCAACAAUUAUUUUUCAAAUCUUGUCUACCACAAAGUUAUUACACCACCUUGCACACAUCAUCUUCCACAAUGUCCAACAACACAUUAACACUAGUACAAAACUAAUUAUUUAGAUGUUAUAAUUUUUAUUAUUACUCUAUCUUAAU
Solanum lycopersicum (tomato) is the source of this 1235-nucleotide non-coding RNA. Lineage: Eukaryota; Viridiplantae; Streptophyta; Magnoliopsida; Solanales; Solanaceae. The record is from RefSeq and is a predicted model, not a curated record.